Molecule: non-coding RNA, 95 nt
Organism: Gymnopus androsaceus JB14
Lineage: Eukaryota; Fungi; Basidiomycota; Agaricomycetes; Agaricales; Omphalotaceae
Source: the annotation of a GenBank genome assembly
ACACCGUUGGUGAAGUGGUUAUCAUGCUUGCCUUCCAUAAAUAGUGACCAAUGGGUAUAGAGCAAGCGGCUCGGGUUCGAUUCCCGAACGGUGUA